CGGGCAGUGAGAGCUGAAGCCCGGAGUUGGGGACUGAGACAAGGCCCCAGGCCCUACGGGGCGCAGCAGGCGCGAAACCUCUGCAAUGCGGGAAACCGUGACAGGGGGAUCCCAAGUGCUCAUGCAUUGCAUGGGCUGUUCUUUGGUCUAAGUAACCAGAGGAGUAAGAGCUGGGCAAGACCGGUGCCAGCCGCCGCGGUAAUACCGGCAGCUCAAGUGGUAGCCGCGAUUAUUGGGCCUAAAGCGUUCGUAGCCGGAUAAGUAAGUCUUUGGUUAAAUCCUGCGACUUAACCGUGGGAAAUCUAGAGAUACUGCUUGUCUUGAGACCGGGAGAGGUUGGAGGUACUCCCAGGGUAGGGGUGAAAUCCUGUAAUCCUGGGGGGACCACCUGUGGCGAAGGCGUCCAACUGGAACGGGUCUGACGGUGAGGGACGAAACCUAGGGGAGCGAGCCGGAUUAGAUACCCGGGUAGUCCUAGGCGUAAAUGAUGCGAGUUAAGUGUGGGGGCAUCCACGAGAUGGCCCUGUUCUUUAGGGUAGCCGUUAAACUCGCCGCCUGGGGAGUACGGUCGCAAGGCUGAAACUUAAAGGAAUUGGCGGGGGAGCACCACAAGAGGUGGAGGCUGCGGUUCA
Molecule: ribosomal RNA, 632 nt
Filed under: uncultured archaeon
Lineage: Archaea
Description: bacterial SSU rRNA
Rfam family: Archaeal small subunit ribosomal RNA
Source: RNAcentral